This 5700-nucleotide long non-coding RNA is filed under the name Capsicum annuum. RNAcentral's name for it is "long non-coding RNA (CANN_LNC011344)". The record is from RNAcentral. Lineage: Eukaryota; Viridiplantae; Streptophyta; Magnoliopsida; Solanales; Solanaceae.
UUCUUGGAGUUUUGGUUUUGCAUCAAAUUGGAGACUUUGGAUUUAUUCUUUCAUUAUUCUACAAUUAAUUACAUGUGUUCUUCAUUUAUGUCAUAUAUUAUUUCAUGAACAUGAUCAGCUAAAUUCCUUAACUAGGGUGGUGGGAACCCUGACGAAUUAGCUAUAUAAGGGAAGUAGGAGAUCUAUCUAAUCUAUUGUGGUUGCGUGUAUUGCAAACUUUUUCAUAUUAAUUUGACCUAAGCUACUACAGAAGUGUAGUGAUUUCCUGUAUUCGAGAACAUCCUCACAAGGAAGUUUGAGAUUAGGAAAAAGAGGUUACAAUAGUUUUGAGGCUAUCAACCCUCGUCUAAUCAAAUUGAGAAUUAAAAGGUGACACUUGUAUUGAGGUUAUAGACAAGGUACAACAAGGUGAAACUCUGAGAUUCACAAGGUAAAGGGUGAAAUCUAUCAAUGUGCUCAUAAGAUGGUUGAUAGUACAUAGCUUGUCAACUUUGCAUACAAAGCAGGAGGUUAGGUGGAUUGAACACGAGAAUCUUAUGUAGUUGUGAAGCCCGGGGGAACACAGUCCUAAUAUUCAUAUUCUAUUUUUUACAAACUCAACCUUCCAAGUUCGGCUCCCUGUUACUAUUGCCUUCACAUUCCCCCAUUUACUUUUCCGCAGUGUUCGUGGAUUUUGUCAAAGUUUAAGAUACUAUUUGAUGUCUUCACUUUGGGAUCGGCCCCAAUCUUAGUUGGGUUACUAUAUUUGGCAUCGACCAUAGCAUACUUUUUGGAGGUUAGUUUUGGGUGAUAUCAUUAAGCAAGAGUUAAAUUUUUUUUUUUACAAAUUUCUCAAGAAAGUUGUCGAUAGAUGUGGUGGUUGAAUUUUCCAGUGGUCGAGAUUACGAUGAUAGCUCGAAGUUCUAUUUUGCUACCCUAAAAAAGGUAAACACACCUCUCACUUUUAGUUUUAUUAUUAAUUUUUUGUCAUAUCUUUCUCCAUAGCAAUAGUUGUGUAGUUAUAGACGUGGUAAUAUUGGGAUUGUUUGUAGUAGAAGGCUUUGAAGCGUAUAGGAUUUUGAUGUGAUAAGUGUUGUGAUGAUUAUGCUUGAAUUUAUUAUUUUUUAUCAAUAAUUUCUUUAUUAAUCAAAAUUGUCAUUACAUACCCGGGUAGAAGUUAACCAUCUACCACCUAUCACCUAUCUUUGAGCUAGUUUAAUUUUACAUAUACUGCUAACUCUACUCAACCUACUCAAAAACUCAAGGGGUAUUAUAGUGGUUCUUCUUUCUAGGAAAAUGAUUCAGCAUCCUCAAGGUGCUUUGCCACGUAGCUGUAUUCCUCCCCUGAAUGUGCAUAUUCAUUCCAAUCUCCUUACAUAUUUUUUCCAAGUUGAGCCGAGCUAUCUAAAACCUCAGUAUGUCUAGAUAUAAUACAAAGUCAUAGAAAAAGCAGGAAAAACUAUCUCAGUAGGUCCAGUCUUUUUCUUAGCUAAUUUACAUAUCCAAUCUAGUUCCUGCAUCCAGGGCAUUAUGCUUCUGUUAAAGCCUAGCCUUUUUACCAAGGUACUCCACAACUGUUUACUAUAGUUACAUUUAAAGAAGAGAUGUCCAAAUGUCUCAUCAGUUUGAUUGCAAAAGGCACACUCUAGUGUUACUUGGAUUCUAAUUUUCUAAAGUGUAUCAACUAUAGUUAAUCUCUUAUUCACUGCUAACCAUAGAUUGAACUUGAACCUGGGAUGGAUGUAUUUUGCAAAGUAAUACUCUUCCAGUCUACUUUUGUGUAUUGUGGUUGCGAACUCGGAUAAUCCUUCCCGACAGAGAAUUUACCACCUUAUACUAUCUUAUCUAGUGUUUCCAUCAAGACCUCCUCGCUCUGCAAAGUAUCACCUUUCUACUAUUAGUUAUCUUCCUCACUACCCAAGCUGUAUUUUUUGGUAUUGGCAUAUUAUUCAGGUUCCUUUGCUUGACAUAAUAGUAGUGCACCCAUUUGAUCCAUAGUGUGUCCUUGUUUUUUGAAAUAGCCCACAGAUGUUUUAAUAUAGCUGCCUUGUUCAACAGCUUCAAAUCACUAACUCCCAGUCCACCUGUUGAGCCUGGUGGACAUAUCUUCUCCCAUGCUAUUAAUGCUUUUUUUGAUAAUUCCUAUUGUCCUAUCCAUAAGAAGGUUCUACAUAUAGCUUCCAGCAUCUUAAUCACUUUCUUAGGCAAUAUGAAUAUCUGUGCCCAGUAACUCUGCAUACCAAAUAGUACUGCUUUUAUAAGUUAAAGCCUACCAGCAUAAGAUAGCAGCCUUGUUGUCCAUCAUAUAAUUUUGGCAGAGAAUUUCUCCACUAGAGGCAUACAUUAUGUAAUUGUCAGCUUCUUUGUAGAUAAUAGAACUCCCAGGUACUUGAAAGGUAAAGUCCCUUAUAAAAAUCCCAAACUCUGUACCAGCCACACUUUAGAUUGUUGCUUAAUCUUACCAUAUAGAUGGAGCUUUUAUUAGCAUUUUCUUCUAGCCCAGAUGCUCUUGAGACCCUUUGAAAUGUUUGUUACAGCAGCAAGAUAGAUUCUUUGUCAGCCCUGUAAAACAUAAACAGGUCAUCUGCAAAACACAUAUGUAUUAAGUUAAAUCUCUUGCAUCUUGGAUGGAAGUGGAACUAUUUCUGUUGUGCUAGUUGUUGCAUUUCUCUAUGAAGGUAUUCCAUGGCUAUUACAAAGAGGUAAGGAGACAUGGGAUCCUCUUGCCUCAUUUCCCUUCUAGCUUGGAAUAAUUUAGUAAGCCCUUCAUUAAGCAUCAAAGAGUAAGACACAGUUGAUACACAUUCCAUAAUCUAAUCUCAACAAGCAUGGCCUUAAGAAAAGGUCAUUUUAAGGUAUCAUAAGAUUUCCUGUGGUACACUUUAAGGACACAUCUAGGUGAUAUAUUUUUCCUAGUAUACCCGUUGAAUAGCUCAUGACUAAGUAGAACAUUAUUUGUGAUAGAUCUUGUUUUAAUAAAGGUAGACAGUGAGCAACCAAUUACACCAUUCAGCACCUAUUUUAUUCUGUUAGCCAGGAUCUUAUCAACUAUUUUGUAGGUGGUGGAACAACAAGUUAUGGUCUAAAUCCCUUAACCUUAUUUGGUGAUGGAACCUUAGGAAUCAGUGUGAUAGUUGUGCAGUUCCAAGCUCUCUUCAUCUUUCCAGUAUAAAAUAAUGUUGCACAGCUGAAUAGACCUCUAUUCUGAUGAUAGACCACUGCUGUUAGAACAAAUCAAUAGGGUACCCAUCCAUCCUUGGGCUUUUUUAUUUAGGCAUAUUUCUAACCACUUGGUGUAUUUCCUCUGAACUCACCAUUUUUACUAGCUAAAUUUGUUGUUCUCUAGUAAGAAAGACACUACUUUGAUCCCUUCUGAGUUUGGAUAUGGCAUUUUAUUAGCACAAUCACCCAUAAGUGCAGUGAAUAUGUCAACAAAUUCAACCUCUACUUCCUGUGAUCCUAUGAGCUUUGUUCCAAUUUCUAUAUAGAUUGAUAAAAUUGUAUUCUAGGCAGACCUGAUCUGGAGCUGAGCAUGAAAAUAUUUUGUAUUAGCAUCACCAUUAUCAAUCCAACAUGCUCUAGAUUUUUGUCUUAAAACUUGCUCCUCUACUAAGCUUCAUUUUUGAAUAUCCUUUAAAAUAGCCUUUUCCUAGUCAAACAAAUCCUGAUUAUUUAAUUGGAUAGUAAUCUGAGCUUAUACUAUUUCCAGUUGUUGUCUAGCCUGGGAAAGAUUUUGAGCAUAAGAAGCCAUGUAAGUGUUGAGGUCCUUCGCUUGUACUUUGAGUUUCUUAUAUCUCUUCUAGAGGAUAGUCAUAGGGUCCCCUCUCAUAUAUCAACUCCAUACUUGUUGCACACUCUGUUGAAACUGAUGAUGUAGAAAUACUAAAGCAUAAAGUCUGAAAGGCUUUAGAUAUACGCAUUCUUUGUGUAUACAUUAGACCAAUAUUAGUGAGUGAUCAGACAUUCUCGAGUUCAAGAAAUACACUUCAGUGUGAAAAAUCUUUAUAUCUAUUCAUAAUUACCAAGCACCCAGUCAAUUCUGCUAUAUACUCUAUUUGCAUCCUGCUUUUGUUGGUUCAAGUAAAGUAACUACCCUUUGAUAUCAAUGGUGUUAGCUGCAGAUUAUCUAUCAACUCUUUAAAUCCUUUGAUCUCAUGGUGUGUUACUGGUUGACCUAUUUUAUCAUCAGUGCUCAGGACAUUGUUAAAGUCACCACAUAAUAGCCAGGGUUCAUAAAUAUUCCCACUAAUACAUUGGAUAUCAGGCCACAAUGAUUCUUUUUGAGACAACUCAUUCUUAGCAUAUACAAUAGUGACAAUAGUUAAGAAAUCUAUCGAUACAUUCUGUACCCUACAAUGCACAUAUUGCUCAUGUACUUGCAAUAUUUGUACAUGAAGGUGUUUUUUCCAAAACAACCAGACUCUGCCAUUUUCACUACGUGGAAAUUUUUUUACAUAAGACCAUUCUUUAUUAAAUUUUAGAAGUACAUCCUUAGCAUUUCUUUCUUUAACUCUUUUUUCUAAACAACCAAAUACAUCUAUUUUAUUCUUUUUUCAUAAAGAGGAUCACCUCUUUCUGCUUAAAGGGAUUAUUUAACCCUCUUACAUUCUAGGUACAGAUAUUUAUGGAGGUUGGUGAGGUACAACCUGGCUUAGUCUUGAGGGACCAGCUCUAUUAUUUUCUAUUUUAUUCAAUACAUCAAAUUUGUUACCUGGAAACUUGCUUUCCAUACCACUCAUAGUAGCCACUUCAGGUUCAGCUAUUCCAGUAUCUUCCUUCACCUUAUUUUGGUCCUUAACGACAGCUUAAUCUUGUCAAACUUUCCUAGUUGGUAUCAUUUUCUUCCUUCUUUUACCUCUUCUUUUUUGUUUAGGGAGUUUCUUAAAUGCCUCCUCUUCUUGCUCUUUCUAUUUAUCUUGAAUAGGUUCUUUAUUCUUUAGCCAGCAUUCCUCAUCUAUGUGUCCAAAUCUAACAUAAUCAGAGCAGAAUUUUAGCUUUCAAUCAUAUUCAAUCCCUUUCUUAAUGGUACCAAAUGGUGUGUGAAUCUCAAUAGAGUCUAGGAGCAGAUAGGAGAUAUCUACUUUGAUCAAUACUUGAGCAUAGAGAUUCUAUUCAUUUCUACAGUGUACCUAUCAGUAUGAAAGGGUCUUCCAAUUACACUAGCCACCUUGCUUAGUGCCUCCACAAUCCAACAACGCACAGGCAUCCCAGGUAAGUUAACCCAUAGGGGAAUUGUGGUGAUGUAUUCAGUGUCAAAAACAAAAUCCAUUACCCAAUGCUUCAAUAUUAAUGUCUUAUUGUGGUAAGUGCAAGGGCCAGCUUGCAUGACUUUUUUUCUAUCCUCAAUCGAUGAAAAUCGAAAUAUAUAAUAGCCGUCCGCAUGGUACAGGAUUUGGGGAUUUUUCACAAAGUUCCACACAGUAGUUACAAAAUUGUCCAUAAACUUCUCAUAAGGAGUAUCACCAAGUACAUAUGAGUGCAGUCGACCAGUGAUUAUCAGUUGCUUGCAUGUCCUCCAUAAUCAACUUAACCACUUUCUUUUGCUCGCAUUAGUUAGGUGGUUGAUAUGUCAGCAUACUACCUUUGUUUGCACCUCUGUUCAUUGGAGAUUUUGGGACCUUUAUUGUCUUUGUUUUUUGUGUAGCUGGAUUUUCAGAUGUCGAGCUCGUUGAAGAACUAACAUCUGAGAUUUAAAGUCUCUGAGGGAGGGUCACUGUUGAG